This 45-nucleotide non-coding RNA is filed under the name Schistosoma margrebowiei. The record is from RNAcentral. Lineage: Eukaryota; Metazoa; Platyhelminthes; Trematoda; Strigeidida; Schistosomatidae.
ACCUUGCUGACGAGUGCCAAAUAACACGAAACCCGGGUCCAAGAU